CCUACGGGUGACAGCAGUGAGGAAUAUUGGUCAAUGGCCGGAAGGCUGAACCAGCCAUGCCGCGUGAAGGUCAGUGCCCUAUGGGCGUUAAACUUCUUUUGUGCGGGAGCAAUAAUGGUCACGUGUGGCCAGACGAGAGUACCGUACGAAUAAGCAUCGGCUAACUCCGUGCCAGCAGCCGCGGUAAUACGGGGGAUGCAAGCGUUAUCCGGAUUUAUUGGGGUAAAAGGGUGCGUAGGCUGUGAGGUAAGUCAGCGGUGAAAUGCCCCCGCUCAACGGGGUGAAGUGCCAUUGAUACUGCCUUGCUGGAAUGCGGAUGCCGUGGGAGGAAUGUGUGGUGUAGCGGUGAAAUGCAUAGAUAUCACACAGAACACCGAUUGCGAAGGCAUCUCACGAAUCCGCGAUUGACGCUGAUGCACGAAAGCGUGGGUAUCAAACAGGAUUAGAUACCCCUGUC
RNAcentral lists this ribosomal RNA (457 nucleotides) under uncultured bacterium. RNAcentral describes it as "partial 16S ribosomal RNA". It matches the Rfam family "Bacterial small subunit ribosomal RNA", at positions 338 to 792 of the family's 1533-position model. The record is from RNAcentral.